Molecule: long non-coding RNA, 295 nt
Filed under: Mytilus galloprovincialis (Mediterranean mussel)
Lineage: Eukaryota; Metazoa; Mollusca; Bivalvia; Mytilida; Mytilidae
Source: RNAcentral
GAAAAUUCAUCAGCAGUGAGCGGUACGAUCAAACAUUCGACAGCCUUAAUGCCAUAUGUGUGUAAAUAGAAAAAGAUUUGUCCGCAUCAAUAAAAAAAAUUCACACUGCGAGGAAGGAUCAUUUUCUCUCAGAACUUCAAUGAAAUCUUUUAUGAAAUGGGUAACUCUUUUCCAAGGAUUAUCAUCAUGGGAAGUACGUUAUAAUUGUCGUUCCUGUUCAAGUCGUUUUGCAAGUUCAUCUAGAAAGACGCCACCACGAAGUAGAUAAAGACUUUCCGGUAUAUGUUGGUUGGUU